UACGUAGGGACCAAGCGUUGUUCGGAUUUACUGGGCGUGAAGGGCGCGUAGGCGGCAACUCAAGUCAUCUGUGAAAUCUCCGGGCUUAACCCGGAACGGUCAGGUGAUACUGUUUUGCUAGAGUGCGGAAGGGGCAAUCGGAAUUCCCGGUGUAGCGGUGAAAUGCGUAGAUAUCGAGAGGAACACCAGAGGUGAAGACGGGUUGCUGGGCCGACACUGACGCUGACAGCGCGAAAGCCAGGGGAGCAAACGGG
Molecule: ribosomal RNA, 254 nt
Filed under: uncultured prokaryote
Description: partial 16S ribosomal RNA
Rfam family: Bacterial small subunit ribosomal RNA
Source: RNAcentral